Molecule: ribosomal RNA, 74 nt
Filed under: Hafnia alvei
Lineage: Bacteria; Pseudomonadati; Pseudomonadota; Gammaproteobacteria; Enterobacterales; Hafniaceae
Also listed under: 2 other names
Description: partial 16S ribosomal RNA
Rfam family: Bacterial small subunit ribosomal RNA
Source: RNAcentral
UAAUUGAAGAGUUUGAUCAUGGCUCAGAUUGAACGCUGGCGGCAGGCCUAACACAUGCAAGUCGAGCGGUAGCA